AAGUACUGUAAAUAAUACAAGAGAAAAAAAUUCAUUUUAGCCUUAAGUAUCUGUGAUAUCUAGUUAACUCUCUAAACAAACAAUCUGUGAUGUUCAGUUAACUCUCUAAACAAAAGUUUGGUCGUUGGUCCUGUUCCUGUCUAAAAACAUGUUCCUUAUUAAACUAGUAUGGUUGAUUGUCUCAUUCCACCACUGUUCCGCGGCGCCUCCAUCUGCAAUCCGCCGGGAGCUCAGGGCUUCCGAUCAGCGAACUGCAGAAAUCCCCGCUGUGUGAUGAUCGAUCGGGUAUGGCGCUUAAGGCCACGGCUCAGGCCGCUGCGGAGGCGGCCAUAGCGGCCAUCGGCUGCGGCUACGAUGUCGCGGCGGACAUCCGGCUCAAGUACUGCAAGGGGAAGCUGAACGGUGCCGCACACCUCAUUGACUUCGGCCGCGAUGAGGUUCAGGACAUGGUGCUCCCCGGUGGGCUGAAGGUGCCGGGCGUCCCCAAGUCCAUCAAGUGUGACGUGGGUGAGCCGAAGCCGAUGCGGCUCCGCUCCGAUUUCCUCUCGUUUCAGCAGAUGUCAGAGAACUUCAACCGGGAGUUAUCUUUGACUGGGAGCAUUCCGUCCGGCAUGUUCAAUAGUAUGUUUGAAUUUUCUGGCUGAUGGCAGAGAGAUGCAGCUAAUACCAAGUCACUUGCUUUUGAUGGUUUCUUCAUUUCACUAUACACCGUUGCACUUCCACCCUCACGUAUCCUACUGCUUGAUCAUGUUACUAAGGCAGUUCCUUCAACCUGGGAUCCUCUUGCAUUGGCAAGGUUCAUUCAAAAGUUUGGAACUCACAUAGUUAUUGGUGUAAAAAUUGGGGGAACAGAUGUUAUUUAUCUGAAGGAACAGCAUUCCUCCAGCUUGCAACCAGCUGUGGUUCAGCAACGAAUGAAGGAGAUGUCAGACAGGAAAUUUCUGGAUGCAAGUGGUCAGUCUGACAUUAGCAACAAGGAUGCAUCUGGGAAAGAUAAGAAUGUUGUGAGAGAGCGACGACUAAGAUUUGCAGAAUCAAGUCCAUCAAGUUCUUACUCUUCGAAAGAGGAUAUUGUGUUUCUGGUUAAAAGGAGAGGUGGAAAUGAAUGGGACAAAGAGAUGCCUCAUAGCGAGUGGAUAAAAACUGUUCAAACAGAACCUGAUGUUAUCUCAAUGUCCUUUCUACCUGUUACUUCAUUGUUGAAUGGAGUACCUGGCGUGGGCUUUGUCAGCCAUGCAAUUAAUCUGUACCUACGCUAUAAGCCUCCAAUUGAAGAACUACACCAAUUUCUUGAGUUUCAGCUACCAAGGGUUUGGGCGCCGCAGCACAGUGAUACUCUCCUACUCCCUGAUCGAAGGAGUAGUGCAUCUUUGACCAUAAAUUUCAUUGGUCCGAAGCUCUGUGUCUGCAAUGAAAUGGUUGAUGUGGGUGAAAGACCUGUCACUGGACUACGGUUAUAUCUCGAGGGAAGGAAAUGCAACAAGUUGGCUAUACAUCUUCAACAUCUAAGUUCCUUUCCACGAACCAUCCAACUCGUGGAUGAUCCUUACAACCACAGAACUCCUAAACCACAUGACCCCAUGUACUUCGAAUCAUUUGGGUCAUGGAAGGGUUUCUCUUAUGUCUGCACAGCACCAGUGGAGUCAGAUGACGACACCUCAAUUGUUACUGGGGCACAGUUACUUGUGAGCAGCCAUGGAUUCAGGAAAGUACUUUCCCUUCACCUCCGUUUCUCAAAAGUCUGCAAUGCUGUAAUCGUGAAGAACCCUGUGUGGGAUGGAUCACCAGAUCUGGCCUGGAAUUCUAGUCUUGUAACCACAAAAGACUCCUCAGGAUCCAAGAAACGUGCCGAUCAUGUGAACAUCAACUCAGCUGUGUACCCUGCCGGUCCACCUGUGCCUGUGCAGGCACCAAAACUUCUCAAGUUUGUGGACACAGCAGAGAUUGUCCGUGGACUACAAGACAUGCCGGGCUACUGGGUGGUCUCUGGUGCAAAACUGCAACAAGAGAGAGGCAAGAUAUCGCUAUGUGUGAAGUAUUCACUCUUGACGACCAUGGUACCUAAAACCGAGUAUCCACCUGUUGAACAAAAUUGAAACUUGGACCAAGAAUCAAAGAGAGACUGAUGUGCAUUUACUCAUGCAGCGCAUGACAAUGUUUCAGCGUGCUUUCGGUCAAUGCUGUUAAUAUGCACUUUCUUGUCUUUAGGUUGUUAAUAUUUCCCCGUGAAUCAGGAUGUCUAUAGGAAAAUCUGAGUCAAAUUUAUUAUGAUGAAUUUACUAUUAAGAUGUGAGGAAAAUGUAAGUUUUAUUGAACAGACCCAAGGGAGAAGUAGGCGAGAUUCAGUGCUGCAUAGGAGUUCCAACGUCCUUUUAGAGCAUCACCAACAAUUCCCUAAAGGAAGAAGCCCAAUUUUGCUCC
RNA transcript from Panicum virgatum (switchgrass), 2421 nucleotides. It is a transcript of the gene named MACPF domain-containing protein At4g24290-like, with no coding region annotated. NCBI's taxonomy places the organism in Eukaryota, Viridiplantae, Streptophyta, Magnoliopsida, Poales, Poaceae. The transcript is spliced from 7 exons. The record is from RefSeq and is a predicted model, not a curated record.